Molecule: transfer RNA, 75 nt
Filed under: Sphaerodactylus townsendi
Lineage: Eukaryota; Metazoa; Chordata; Lepidosauria; Squamata; Sphaerodactylidae
Description: tRNA-Ala
Rfam family: tRNA
About the family: Transfer RNA (tRNA) molecules are approximately 80 nucleotides in length.
Source: RNAcentral
GGAGGGCACUUGGUUCAAUGGCAGAAUAUCUACUUGGCAUGUAGAAGAGCCCAGGUUCAAUCCCCAGUGUCUCCA